CCUGGCUACCUUUUCCAUUGCACCUCCUGCCACUUCUGCUUUAACUUUAUGGUUAGAGACAGUAAACUGUGAGAUUCCCAGCUCAGCCAUUUCCCAGCACCCACCCCAACAUACACCUAGAUGAAAUGGGCCAAUUCCUUAAAGGAUGCAAUCUGACAAAACUCACAAGAAGUCCAGUUGCUGUUCAUUGCUACACAUUGCUGCUUCUUUGAUAUUUCCUUAGUUGUGGAAUACUUCAGCCCAUCCCUUGGUGAACUCUUCUUCUCCACUGUAAGUCACCUCUUCCAACAAACUAGGGCUGAGUCUCCCUCUUCUAAAAAUACUACUAUCAUUGCAUUUAUCAUGCUAUGUUUUAAGGGUGUGCUUCUUCUGUGUCUUCAGCCCUACCAGAGCAUAAGCUUCUUGAGAGCAGGAAUUUUGGUUCCUUUGAGUCCCCAACACCUAGUAAGGCACCUGGCCCUCAGUAGAUAUACAAUAAAUGUUUCUUACAUGAAUUACUAUGUACUGGCACUGAGCUAAGCACCUUACGAAGUGGAUUACUCCUAACCCUUUCAAUGAGAUGGAAAAGUAGCUACCAGUCUGCCCAUUUAAUAGAUGAGGAAACCAAGGCUCCCAGAGAUUAAGGUGUUUGCCGUAGGUUGACAUGGUUAUUCCUGGAUUCCAGAUCUUCUGACUCUAAAGCCCAUAUUCACAUUGCUGCACCACAGAGAGUCCCUGGAAAGGGGUGCCUUCUGGGGCCACUUUGGGUGUUUGGAGGUAAAGCUAAUGUCAUCACACAUGCCUAAUGCAUGGAUGUGCUUACGGAAAGUAUUAGGGAAUCAUUGCUGGCUGCUUCCCAAAGCCUUAAAACCUGGGCCGGGCAUGGUGGCUUACUCCUAUAAUCCCAGUACUUUGGGAGGCUGAGGUGGGUGGAUCACUUGAGGUCAGGAGAUCCAGACCAGCCUGGCCAACGUGGUGAAACCCCAUCUCCACUAAAAAUACAAAAAUUAGCUGGGUGUGGUGGUGCACGCCUGUAAUCCCAGCUACUCAGCAGGCCUGUAAUCCCAGCUACUCAGGAGAAUUGUGUGAACCCAGGAGAUGGAGGCAGCAGUGAGCCGAGAUUGCGCCACUGCACUCCGGCCUGGACAACAAAGCGAGACUCUGACUCAAAAAAACAAAAAACAAAAAACAAAACAACAAAAAAAACAAAACAAAACCCUGGCUCUGCCCACCUCUCCCACAGGCCUUAUGGCAGCCAAACCGAAGGUUCUGUCUCAGCACACUCCUCCUCAAAGUGUCUGCAGUGCUGUCUUUUUCUCUCUGUUCCCUCAAGCUGCCUUAUUUUGCUUUGGAUCUCUGGCUUCUCUUCCUCCUAAUUCCUAAAUAUAGACGCUCUGCCUGCUUCCUC
Molecule: long non-coding RNA, 1387 nt
Filed under: Homo sapiens (human)
Lineage: Eukaryota; Metazoa; Chordata; Mammalia; Primates; Hominidae
Description: non-protein coding lnc-ZFP36L1-7:1
Source: RNAcentral